GAUGAACGCUAGCUACAGGCUUAACACAUGCAAGUCGAACGGAACUUACCGAAUGAAGCUUUCGGGUGGAUUUUGAUAAGUUUAGUGGCGGACGGGUGAGUAACGCGUGAGUAACCUGCCUUCAAGAGGGGAAGUAACGUUCUGAAAGAACGACUAUACCGCAUAACAUACGGAUGUCGCAUGGCAACCGUAUCAAAGAUUUAUCGCUUGAAGAUGGACUCGCGUCCGAUUAGCCAGUUGGCGGGGUAACGGCCCGACCAAAGCGACGAUCGGUAGCCGGACUGAGAGGUUGAACGGCCACAUUGGGACUGAGACACGGCCCAGACUCCUACGGGAGGCAGCAGUGGGGAUAUUGCGCAAUGGGGGCAACCCUGACGCAGCAACGCCGCGUGAACGAUGAAGGU
This 404-nucleotide ribosomal RNA is filed under the name uncultured bacterium. RNAcentral's name for it is "bacterial SSU rRNA". It matches the Rfam family "Bacterial small subunit ribosomal RNA", at positions 28 to 415 of the family's 1533-position model. The record is from RNAcentral.